Molecule: ribosomal RNA, 468 nt
Filed under: uncultured bacterium
Lineage: Bacteria
Description: partial 16S ribosomal RNA
Rfam family: Bacterial small subunit ribosomal RNA
Source: RNAcentral
GACGAACGCUGGCGGCGUGCUUAACACAUGCAAGUCGAACGGAAAGGCCCUGCUUUUGUGGGUUGCUCGAGUGUCGAACGGGUGAGUAACACGUGAGUAACCUGCCCUUGACUUUGGGAUAACUUCAGGAAACUGGGGCUAAUACCGGAUAGGAGCUCCUGCCGCAUGGUGGGGGUUGGAAAGUUUCGGCGGUUGGGGAUGGACUCGCGGCUUAUCAGCUUGUUGGUGGGGUAGUGGCUUACCAAGGCUUUGACGGGUAGCCGGCCUGAGAGGGUGACCGGCCACAUUGGGACUGAGAUACGGCCCAGACUCCUACGGGAGGCAGCAGUGGGGAAUAUUGCACAAUGGGCGGAAGCCUGAUGCAGCAACGCCGCGUGCGGGAUGACGGCCUUCGGGUUGUAAACCGCUUUCGCCUGUGACGAAGCGUGAGUGACGGUAAUGGGUAAAGAAGCACCGGCUAACUACGUG